Leptonychotes weddellii (Weddell seal) is the source of this 2221-nucleotide non-coding RNA. NCBI's taxonomy places the organism in Eukaryota, Metazoa, Chordata, Mammalia, Carnivora, Phocidae. The record is from RefSeq and is a predicted model, not a curated record.
UUACACAUUUCCAGCAGACACGCCGCCAAUCUGUGAGUCAUUCCUGACCAAUGGCCAGCAGGGUUUGGGGACUGUUUGGAUUUGGAGGUGAGAGAAAGGGCAGUGUCAACCAUCUCCUGCCCAGGAUGGGUGGGAGUGGAGGAGUGCUGACGGACUGAGUUUCGAGCACGCUAAUAUGAGGAACUUGUAGCUUGGAUUGGAGAAUGAAUUGCCCGGGGCCCAGUGUGCCACCUGAUGGAAAGCACAGGCCAUGAAGAACAGGAAGACACACAGCAGAGGGGUCUACCCUUUGGAGAUAGUCAUCCUACCUGACCCAUGGGCACAUCCAGAGGCCAGUGCAAUGUCAUCCAGCUCCUGUCCAGUCCAAGAGCUCCAUCCUUGCCACCUGAGGAGCAAGCAACACCCUUCACUUUUUGAUGAAAUCCCAAGAGCAAAAGGUGGAAGAGACUAGAAGGAAAUGCCAGCCCAAUAUGAGGAGUUUUCCAACAAUCUAGGCUGCCUUGUGAAGAGGUAAGCUCUUAGUCGAUGGCAGUUUGCAAGAGUGAGGCCAUGCCCCUGCACAGUGACCUGCCCAGAAAAGAGGGACAUCCCGGAGAAAAGAACUGGAAGUUUGGCUAGGAGGGGGGCUCUGGAUCUAGACUCUUUGCAUCCAUACCCCAGAUUGCUACCUACCAGCAGAGUGACAUGGGGAAAGUUACUUAGCCUCUCUGUGGCUCAGUUUUGUCAUCUGUCAGUUGGGGCUAAGAAUAGCAUCUGUCUCAUAGGGUGGUUAAGUGAGUUAAUACAUGAACUUACCAUUAUUAGCAUCCUCAUCACAUCUCUGGAUGUGGGUGGCAAAUGACACUGGCUCUGGGGACACCAUCCAAGAGCUCGUUAAUGAGGAAAAACAACCUUUCUCUGGAUUUUCUCGAGGGGCAGGCUGCAAGCAAGUUCCGAACUCUAGAUGGUGAGCUAUGCCAGGCUUGCUUUAACUCAUGCCCUCUUUGUGUUUACUUCUCAGCUGUCCUCCCUUAGGUUUUAAAAGUUAAAAGUCUUUUGACAGUUUCAGGUUGAUGCCACUGCUCAAAGGAUAAAUGCAGGAAAGAGUUCAGGGCCUCGAUUGGGAACAUUAAAAGGAUGGCAGUGACCCCUUCCCAGUCCUUGAGGCCAGAGGGGAGGGUGCUGGCAGGGGUCAAAUCCAGACUCCAGGGGAGGUCUGGCCAUUGCCUACUGGGACACUGGACUUCCCAGGCUCAUUAUGCUCACACCCUUGCCUGUCAAGGUUGUAAAAAUAGAAAACCAAAACCAAGAUGUGGGAGAGAGUUCAGUAAGUCAUAUGAGAACAUCCAUCUCAUUUCUUCAUCGUGAAGCCUUAUUUCUGAUGUAAAAUGCAAAAAUCAGACAACCUGAUUCUUCUUCUUCUUCUUCUUCUUCUUCUUCUUUUUUUUUUUUCCAAGACCUGGGUCCAACAGUAGUUACAGUCCAAAAUCAAAUUUACCUUGUGCAUCAGCCAGGGUCCAGUCCCAAAUAAGAAAGCACAUUAGUUAUUUUAACAGAGAGAAUUUGCUAUAGGGAAUUGUUUGGACAGGUGUUAGAACCUAGAAGUUCAGAGAGGGGACCCCACAGAGCUGGGAUCUGGACCUCUUGAGGAGGGGACACUACCCUUUGCAUUGAGGGAAUGCAAUGGGUUUUGGGGGGUGUUGGAAAAAAUUGAAGGUGGUUACCAAGUGCUGCCGCCAAGAUGCAGGGCCAUUGCUAAGGUGAAAAAGUGAGGCUUAUGCAGCUCAGGAGAAUUGCAACCAAAAGGAAAAGAGCAAGGCCCACUUCCCCCUCCAACCUUGCAGUCUCUCUCUAGCGCCCACUCGCCACAGAGGCAGCAGCUGGCUGCACGGAAAUGGGUUUGCAGGGUCCCAGGCCCUGUGCCACAGAGUGAAUCACAGGAAAGGGUGGGUUUUGGGCUGAGGUGAUAGCUUAAUAACCAGCACAUUCUGGAAGGAAGAAAUCUUCACCACUUGGACUUGCAAAGAAAUGACCCACAGGCCUUGGAACAACUCCCAAAGCAUAACUUAGAGAGAUAACAAUACUUUUUAGAAAUAAAUUCUGAUUUAUAUAACAUUUAUCGAUCACCUCCUAUGUGCCAAGCACUGUGCUGGGUGCUAUGGGGAGGCUUGGAACCAAAAAGAUCUUCAAGGUUGCGUGUUCGAAUGUUGGCUUUGUUUUUUUUUUUAAAGAUUUUAUUUAU